Trachemys scripta elegans is the source of this 2159-nucleotide long non-coding RNA. RefSeq lists it as uncharacterized. The record is from RefSeq and is a predicted model, not a curated record. The transcript has 3 exons. NCBI's taxonomy places the organism in Eukaryota, Metazoa, Chordata, Testudines, Emydidae.
AUCAAGCACAAAUGACUUGUCUUCACUUUCAAUGUCCUUCACAGCCUAUCCCCACCCUACCGAUCAUUUCUCGUGUACUAUCAAGCUGCAAACUCCCACCUCCCAGCAACCAGCAUUGCUGGCCUUCAUUGCCCACUUGUUACAUUUUCAAACAAGUACCUUUGUGCUUUCUUCUAUUUUGCUUCUUGUGCAUGGGAGAAGUGCCUCAAACAUCCACAAAAGCGCCUCACUGUCAUCCUUAAAAUCAGCCCCUUAGAUUUCUCCUUUGCCUCGAUGCCUACAAAAAACUCAAUGGCUAGACUCUCUCUGUGCUGAAAUCACUCCCUCUCCUGCUACCCAGUAUUGUCCCACUGUUUGCUUGUGCUCCCACAUCUGUAUCUGUUACUACCUCUUAUCUUAGACUGAAAACUCUUUGCAGCGUGGAUCAUCUUUUUGUUCAGUGUUUGUCCAGGAUGUGGUAUACUGUGGGACCAGGACCAUGACUGGGGACCUAGACACUACUGCGAUAUAAAUAAUAAAAUGCUAACAGAUGGGCCCAACAGUGAAUAUAAAGACUAACUCAAGUGAAGGAACGUUCCUGGCAUCCUAAUAUCAAAAGCUUAACUCCAGAUGUUUAGAAAAUGCAGCAGAACUCCAGGAAGGAAGGCGGCCACAUGUCGGCUUUCCAAGUCUUCAUAAAAGGAGAUUGAUUUGAUGCUCAUUAAGCUCCUAGAGGCCGCCAGGCAUUAAAGUUAAUUUCUCUGCUAAUUGUUUUUCAUAUUUCUUCUAAUCGGUUAUUGUUUGAAGUGUGAAGACACUGACUACCACAAAUCAGUGGAGGGGUCCAGGGGCUGUUUUCUGGCUGGUAUACAGAGAGGCCAGAGAGUUUUGCCUUUUAGAUGGUCUUUGGACAUGCCUCAACACUUGGUAGCAGGAAUUAGUGAUUUAAGCCUCCACCCACCUCACCUGUUGAGCUGACUCCAGAGACUUUAACCUCAAUGCAAUGUGAUGGCCACUGGUGUGCCCCAGUCAGAGCUUGCAGAGGUCUCAGGAUCCUUGGAGGCUUGUGGAGCGAUGGAGUAUAACCCUCAGCAUGGACACCUGGUGGUACUGUAGAAGACUAAUAGAACACAGACAGACCCUGGACAUUGGCGGGCGGGAUCGAACCUGGGGCCUGUGGAGCUUAGUGCAUGAGCCUCUACUGCAUGAGCUAAAAGCCACAGGGUCCUUAGCUACGGCUCCAGAUCUCUUUAAGUGGUCCCGAUGCCACUAGAUGGGACAGCACACCCCACCCAGGAGUGUCACAGAGCCACUCACAGAGCCUCAAGCCAGCUGUCCUAGUCCCAUGUAGGGCCAGCUUCGGUGCAUAAACAGCUACAGAAUCUCAGGGGUGGAGGUGAGCUGUACCACUCAGACUGCAGGGGCUGAAUGUCCCACCUUCUGUGCGUGGGACUGCAGCCCUUAAAAACAAACAAACAAAAAAAAACCCUGUCCCUUUGGGAAAUGGAGCCAGUCACCCGGUGGAGGCUUGAGACCCUGGAAUGAGAAUCCUGCAAGGUAAUCUCUUCAGGAGAAGCACAAGAGCAAGUCAGAGCUAAAUAAUACUGCCCUGCCAGUUGAUGGUCAGGGGGAAUCAAGCCUCCAGCCUCACUCAGAGGGACCAUUACUCCUACAAGCAGCCAGGACUACUCCCACCUUCCAGGCCAUUCUGCGGUGCAACCAGCCAAAUUAUGGCUGCUCAGGAUUUGGGGAGAGAACUGCAGCAAGAGAAAACAAGAAGAAGGGGUUUCUUGUUUUUCUCCCCCCUCUAAUGCAGCCAUGAUUUGGCCCACAGUAUUUACCAGGCCAAAUAUAACCUAAGUCCCCAGCAAGUCCGAAGUCAAACUGUACCCUCGAGCAAUAAAAAUCAUGCUGCUGUCAUUGUCAUAUGUUUUUGAUUUUAUUGGUUUUUUUUAAAAAACCAAGUUAUUACAAAUGAAUCAUUUAUUUGAAGGCUUCUGAGAGGGAGAAGUCUCAUUGCAGAUAUGACGUAUUUUCAGUCUUCUUGUGAACCAAGACAGCCAAGUCAAAUCCGUAUGCAUAAACAAAACCAAACAAAAACUAGAACAGUUCAGACCACAGUUUAUAUCAUGCAAAUUCCCUAAUAUCAACAGAAGGCUUUUUUAAAAAAAACAAACAAA